This 492-nucleotide ribosomal RNA is filed under the name uncultured bacterium. Its description in RNAcentral is "partial 16S ribosomal RNA". It matches the Rfam family "Bacterial small subunit ribosomal RNA", at positions 29 to 507 of the family's 1533-position model. The record is from RNAcentral.
AGUGAACGCUGGCGGUAGGCCUAACACAUGCAAGUCGAACGGCAGCACAGUAAGAGCUUGCUCUUACGGGUGGCGAGUGGCGGACGGGUGAGGAAUACAUCGGAAUCUACUUUUUCGUGGGGGAUAACGUAGGGAAACUUACGCUAAUACCGCAUACGACCUACGGGUGAAAGCAGGGGAUCUUCGGCCCUUGCGCGAUUGAAUGAGCCGAUGUCGGAUUAGCUAGUUGGCGGGGUAAAGGCCCACCAAGGCGACGAUCCGUAGCUGGUCUGAGAGGAUGAUCAGCCACACUGGAACUGAGACACGGUCCAGACUCCUACGAGAGGCAGCAGUGGGGAAUAUUGGACAAUGGGCGCAAGCCUGAUCCAGCCAUACCGCGUGGGUGAAGAAGGCCUUCGGGUUGUAAAGCCCUUUUGUUGGGAAAGAAAAGCAGCAGGUUAAUACCCCGCUGUUCUGACGGUACCCAAAGAAUAAGCACCGGCUAACUUCGUG